Saccostrea cuccullata (small rock oyster) is the source of this 441-nucleotide long non-coding RNA. RefSeq lists it as uncharacterized. The transcript is spliced from 2 exons. The record is from RefSeq and is a predicted model, not a curated record. Lineage: Eukaryota; Metazoa; Mollusca; Bivalvia; Ostreida; Ostreidae.
AUGUAUUCAAUACGGAAUGAAAUACCUGGAAAUUUCACACAGGCUAGGAAAUCCGUGACUUUUAAUACCAGCCUCAAUCAAAUCUACGAAUUACCCCCCGAAGACCGGAGAAGUCCCUGGAUGGCCCUAGUAGCGGAUCGAAUACGAUUUCGGAGGAGAAUUCGACAGUUAGAAGCAUUGUUAGUUUUUAAGAAAUAAAAUAAAAAAAAAUCAUGUAAUACUACAUCAGUGUUAUGUUAUUUUUAUGACUUCAUCUUUAUACAGUCGGGUUCGGGUUCGGCGGCCAUAGCGAAUUUCGGCGAGAUUUUACCCCAGUGAAAAAGGCUUGUAAUCUACCUUUCCUCAAACCUGGAAGAUAUGUUUUGUUCCUAACCAAUCCAUUCUCUAAGUGAAGUGAAGCCUGGCUGUUGGUCUUCCUUUGGGAAAUAUACAGUGAAAUAA